This 475-nucleotide long non-coding RNA is filed under the name Numida meleagris (helmeted guineafowl). RNAcentral's name for it is "lncRNA (ENSNMEG00000014461.1)". Lineage: Eukaryota; Metazoa; Chordata; Aves; Galliformes; Numididae. The record is from RNAcentral.
GCUUGGUCUUGUAGGUCUGAACAGAGUUGCAGCAGUGUAAUGCAUGCAAAUAAAGAAAAUACUGCUGGUAUAUUAAUCCUUUCUUCUAGGGAUUUAUAAAACCAAGGGACAGAAAAAAGCCCAUCACACUUCAAAGGAACAAAAUGAGAAUUCUGGUAAAUAAAUGUACACCAGACCAGCGUUGCAUGCUUUCAUGAGGUGACUGUGUACAGGUCUGUCUUAAAUGGAAAAAAAUAAAAACAAAAGCCUAGGGCAAACCAAAGACAUAUAAAGUGACCUGCUGUCAGGCAGAGGAAAUGAAAGAAGGAUGAGACAGACAACUGGAAGUGCAGGUGGUUUUACUGCUUUUGUGAUGAAACUGUCUUCUGCCUUUGAUUCCUUUAAGGGGAGCAUGCAGUUCAGCAAACCCCUACUUUAUUUCAGUGCAUGCAAAGUAGAUUACGGCGGCAUCCAAAGGAAGAACAAAUGGAAGUGA